UUCUGACGGGCCGCGCGUUCUCCUCCCGAGAGACGUGCAUUACGCGCCUCGGUUGGCCGCAUUUCCGGCACUUCUCUUGGCAACAGCGCGUUUGCACGGCGCUGUAGUACCUUCGUUAGCUCAGCUUCGUGUUUACUCCUCCGAUACCUCGCUAAUGCAUCGCGAAGCGUCCACGGGAGACGCUUCCGGACAUUUUCUCUGCGGUACCGUCGACGGCUAUUCAGACGGGGACAGGAGCGGAGGCUGCCCGGCGUGCGAGGAAAGUGUACCGAAUGCGUCUGUACCGGCAGAGACGGUGUCUCCCUGAAGAGCUACGCUCUGGAGCACAUGGAAAUGCAAAGUCACCGGUACAUCACGGACUGUGUGCCGGCGACAGCUGCGACGGACACCGGCGGUGGGCAGCACCGCCAACCAAAACGGCUAUCGGAAUGAGCCCACGAAAGCCUGCGCUGCAAAAAGGCGACUGUGGCCUAAUGGUCCGAUCGUCGGGCUGCUGUGCUGCGGGACCAAGGUUACAUCCCAC
Long non-coding RNA from Dermacentor albipictus, 523 nucleotides. RefSeq lists it as uncharacterized. Lineage: Eukaryota; Metazoa; Arthropoda; Arachnida; Ixodida; Ixodidae. The record is from RefSeq and is a predicted model, not a curated record.